GGGAAUACUGCNAGCUAGGGAGUGGGAGAGGUAGACGGUACUCGGUAGGAAAGGGGUAAAAUCCUUUUGAUCUAUUGAUGACCACCUGUGGCGAAGGCGGANUNNNNGAACNCNACNUCCGACGGUGAGGGAUGAAAGCUGGGGGAGCAAUCCGGAUUAGAUACCCGGGUAAUCCCAGCCGUAAACCAUGCAAACUCAGUGAUGCAUUGGCUUGUGGCCAAUGCAGUGCUGCAGGGAAGCCGUUAAGUUUGCCGCCUGGGAAGUACGUACGCAAGUAUGAAACUUAAAGGAAUUGGCGGGGGAGCACCACAAGGGGUGAAGCCUGCGGUUCAAUUGGAGUCAACGCCAGAAAUCUUACCCCGGAGAGACAGCAGAAUGAAGGUCAAGCUGAAGACUUUACCAGACAAGCUGAGAGGUGGUGCAUGGCCGCCGCCAGCUCGUGCCGUGAGGUGUCCUGUUAAGUCAGGUAACGAGCGAGAUCCCUGCCUCUAGUUGCCACCAUUACUCUCAGGAGUAGUGGGGCGAAUUAGCGGGACCGCCGCAGUUAAUGUGGAGGAAGGAAGGGGCCACGGCAGGUCAGUAUGCCCCGAAACUCUGGGGCCACACGCGGGCUGCAAUGGUAGUGACAAUGGGUCCCGGAUCCGAAAGGAGGAGGUAAUCCUCAAACACUACCACAGUUAUGACUGAGGGCUGCAACUCGCCCUCACGAAUAUGGAAUCCCUAGUAACUGCGUGUCAUUAUCGCGCGGUGAAUACGUCCCUGCUCCUUGCACUCACCGCCCGU
Molecule: ribosomal RNA, 783 nt
Filed under: uncultured archaeon
Lineage: Archaea
Description: bacterial SSU rRNA
Rfam family: Archaeal small subunit ribosomal RNA
Source: RNAcentral